This 1830-nucleotide long non-coding RNA is filed under the name Macaca fascicularis (crab-eating macaque). Its description in RNAcentral is "lncRNA (ENSMFAG00000065479.1)". Lineage: Eukaryota; Metazoa; Chordata; Mammalia; Primates; Cercopithecidae. The record is from RNAcentral.
UUUUUUUUUUUCUUUUUAAGCUGUCAAAGGUCCUUCUGGCUUCAUUCAGCACCUGAAGUUGAUCACUGACUCCUCUUUACGAAGGUUGCCCCACAGAGGCUCUGUGGCUGUACCCUUCUAGGAAGGGUGGCCUUAUGUCAUCGAAAGACUCCCAGCUGUGCUACACAGGCUCAACGUGAUCUACUAAACUGCUUACUUCUCUGAAUCUAUUUCCUCAUCAAUGAAAUGGGCUUGAUAAAACUAAUCCAAGGCAUCUUCAAGAGUUAAGUGAGAUUGGAUAUGAAUCACAUCCAUUGUGAUGCCCUGCACAUUGGCAUGUCUCCAACAAAAGCUGGUUUCCUACCUGCUGCAUCUUCUCUCACACGCUGACUACCAGAGGGAUGCAUAGCAUUUCUCUGCUGGAUUUUUGUGUAUUUUGGGAAAUAAGGGCUCCCUAAAGGAAAGUCCCCUUCCUCAGGGUGACUGCAGUGACAUGGAUGGAUUUCCCUUUAUCUGGGCCCCUUCUUCUGAACCCCGUGUCUCUGUAAAGUUGGGUUUGGGGGACAGGUGCCCAGCUUCCUGAGGCACAUGUGUGUGGGUACGCAUAGUCCUGUAUUAUGGUGAUAGCCUUUGAAUCCAGGUGGCAGUGUUGGGCUUGGGAUUCAGGAAAAGGCAGAUGGGUGAAGGCACCAUGUAAGCAGUGCUCUGUAUGCAUGCAGUUCUGCUGAGCAGAGGAGGAACAAUGGAUACAUGUGGAGGCUUGGAGUGAUUCAGUGCCAGUAGGCUGGUGAGCAGAUUACAUUCUUGUUUAAAUAGCCAAUGGCCUGGUCCCAAAUGCUUGGAAUUCUGAGUAGCCUAGAUGCUAAGUAGAAGGCCGCAUUUAUCCUUUCAUGUUCACUGACUUUCCAUGAAGUCUGUGGCUGAUUUUCUUCGGGAUCAAAGAAGGCUUUGACUUCUUGAAUAAAUUGUAGCAAGUCUGUCUGACAGAUGCAUUAAGACAUGCUGUAGAAACAAGCAAUUCCAGGCAGCCAGUUCAAGAAGGAAUGUCUGGUGGUAGUACCUAGUGGGUAUCUAGUUAGGAUGGCAAAACUCUGCAGAAGAAAGUAUGACUCCGUGUGUCUGCUGCUGCUUUUCUGUACCACCAAGUCUAAACCAGUUUAUUUAACAUAGUAAAUGCUAACUAAACAUUUAAUGAUUGAAGCGAUGGGUUAAUGCCAGAAGAAACAAACUGAGAGUGUCAGGAAGGAGUUAAAAAUGAGCUAGAAGGACUGAUCAGCAACAAGGUUUUCCUGUGCAGGAGGCCUGAGGGGACAAGAGGGUGUUCUGGAUCAAACUGAAAGAAGCGACUCAGACCUAGAGGAACAAGUCAGAGGCUCGAUGACUAAAACCGGGGUAAAAGACUGAAUCUUACAUGUAACAUAUUGGGCAUGAUCAUAGUUACUGGAACCUAAGAACAGCCUCAGAAUAGAUUCAGAAUUGAGUCAUUUCUUACUUGGUUCUUGCUAAAUAUUAGGCAAUAAUGUUGUAUACAUUUAAAAUAAAGUCAAUGAUUUUAUAUGCAAAGUAGUUUAUAUUCUAAGUUUUAAAUUCAGAUGCACUAAAGUAGAAACUUAUUAUUAUUUUUUGAUUUAAAAUAGCAUGUAAAGUAGCUCUUGAUUACAAAGGGCUGUUCUGAGGGCAUGAUGUGUAUUCAUGCAUUUAAUCUUCGCAACUUUACACAGAAAUUUCCAUUAUUAUCCCAUGUUACAGAUGAGAAAACUGAGGCCAAGAGAGUUUAAAUAGCAUUUUAAAGGUAAGUGACUAAGAUGAGGUUCAAAUCUAUGAAGAUGGGUUGCUUAGUCCACCCUUGUG